This 548-nucleotide ribosomal RNA is filed under the name Kockovaella machilophila. Its description in RNAcentral is "eukaryotic LSU rRNA". The stretch from base 159 to 312 matches the Rfam family "5.8S ribosomal RNA". The record is from RNAcentral. Lineage: Eukaryota; Fungi; Basidiomycota; Tremellomycetes; Tremellales; Cuniculitremaceae.
UCCGUAGGUGAACCUGCGGAAGGAUCAUUAGUGAUUUGGCCGAGAGGCCUCUAUCCAAUCCUCACACCUGUGAACAUGUCGGUGGGACCCUUGAAGGAGGGGACCGCCGGACACACCACACUAUGUGUAAUGAACGUGAUGUAUAGUAACAAAAACAAAACUUUCAACAACGGAUCUCUUGGCUCUCGCAUCGAUGAAGAACGCAGCGAAAUGCGAUAAGUAAUGUGAAUUGCAGAAUUCAGUGAAUCAUCGAAUCUUUGAACGCACCUUGCGCCUCUUGGUAUUCCGAGAGGCAUGCCUGUUUGAGUGUCAUGAAACAUCAAUCCCCGAGGGUUUUCUCGACCCCCGGUGGACUUGGACUUGGGCGUCUGCCUCCCCAGGCUCGCCUCAAAUGACUCAGUGGGAACUGUUGACCCAUGCCUGACGUGAUAAGUUUCGUCAACGGCCGGUCUUCAUGGCCUGCUCACAACACCCCAUAUACCUUUUGACAUUGACCUCAAAUCAGGUAGGGCUACCCGCUGAACUUAAGCAUAUCAAUAAGCGGAGGA